This 490-nucleotide ribosomal RNA is filed under the name uncultured bacterium. Its description in RNAcentral is "partial 16S ribosomal RNA". It matches the Rfam family "Bacterial small subunit ribosomal RNA", at positions 29 to 507 of the family's 1533-position model. The record is from RNAcentral.
AGUGAACGCUGGCGGUAGGCCUAACACAUGCAAGUCGAACGGCGGCACAGAGGAGCUUGCUCCUUGGGUGGCGAGUGGCGGACGGGUGAGGAAUACAUCGGAAUCUACUCUGUCGUGGGGGAUAACGUAGGGAAACUUACGCUAAUACCGCAUACGACCUACGGGUGAAAGCAGGGGAUCUUCGGACCUUGCGCGAUUGAAUGAGCCGAUGUCGGAUUAGCUAGUUGGCGGGGUAAAGGCCCACCAAGGCGACGAUCCGUAGCUGGUCUGAGAGGAUGGUCAGCCACACUGGAACUGAGACACGGUCCAGACUCCUACGGGAGGCAGCAGUGGGGAAUAUUGGACAAUGGGCGCAAGCCUGAUCCAGCCAUACCGCGUGGGUGAAGAAGGCCUUCGGGUUGUAAAGCCCUUUUGUUGGGAAAGAAAUCCAGCCGGCUAAUACCUGGUUGGGAUGACGGUACCCAAAGAAUAAGCACCGGCUAACUUCGUG